Micropterus dolomieu (smallmouth bass) is the source of this 960-nucleotide long non-coding RNA. RefSeq lists it as uncharacterized. The record is from RefSeq and is a predicted model, not a curated record. The transcript has 3 exons. NCBI's taxonomy places the organism in Eukaryota, Metazoa, Chordata, Actinopteri, Centrarchiformes, Centrarchidae.
GUUCAUUUUACCCACAUCAUCACAUCAAUCCAUAAACAAAGGCAUCUGCGUUUCUUAAGGAGACACAACUUAACAGGGGGAGAGCACACCUGUCCCAUCAGGUGUGAAAUUCGCUAAACAGAAACUGGUCAAAAGUAAGGUCCACAGAAUAUCUUUGUUCCAGCUGGAUCAACAAGUCUUUGAGGGAUCUAGAGAUGUCUUCAAAACAGGGGGCUGUUGCUGAUGUCCAGCCUCUUACCGCCAUGGGAGAGGAAGGCGGUUGACCACACUGCAGAAAUCCCUGGAAAGGAAGCUACUGGUUGGCAAUGUGAGGAAACCAAAGAUUUAAUAUGUCCACGGGAGGCUCUGAGGGCAGGGGAUGUUACUACUGCUGAUGUUACUACUGCUGAUGUUUCUUGUUGUCAUCAGAGUUGCCUCCGCUUCACAGAGAAAAAAAAAAAGAAAGGGGGGAAAAAAAAGGAAACAUGAAUGCCCACCAUUUGAGAAAUGAAUUUAUCGAAGUCGCUGUCUUUUUCCCCAUUAGUAAGUGUUUAGUUCAGCGUUUUAAAUAAUUGCGUUACCAGGAAUGAUAUUUAAAAUACAUUUGGGAGUCAAUGAGGCGGGAAAGUGCCUACAUGUUUUGCUGAUGACACCCGGGCCAUUUGGAAGACAUCAAAGUAGAGAGGAGGUAGCCCAGAUGCAUAUUAUAAACUCAUUAUGUAUAUCAUUUAAAAGGAUGUACUCCAGCCGCAAAAACAAUAUUCCUAGUCUCUCUCUGGUAAUGUGUGUUUUCAAAGUUGAAACUCUUACUCGCCUUCAGUUUAAUGUGGCAUCUAUUACCAAACUGUAACAUAAAAUAAAUGACCUUGAUUUCCAUACCAGAACAGUCGUUAAGGUAUAGAUGAGAUGCAGGGAUGCUUCUGUGAUUUCAAAUGGGAAAGAAGGUAAAACCUCUCCACACAUAUCAUGUAUUUCUCCACC